RNAcentral lists this long non-coding RNA (527 nucleotides) under Coffea arabica (coffee). RNAcentral's name for it is "long non-coding RNA (CARA_LNC007327)". The record is from RNAcentral. Lineage: Eukaryota; Viridiplantae; Streptophyta; Magnoliopsida; Gentianales; Rubiaceae.
UGAAGCUUACGAAGUGGCAUCCUAUAUCUGGGACAAUUUCUUAGGUGGCAGUUCAAGCUCUCGUCCAUUAGGCGAAGCCGUUUUAAAUGGUGUAGACUAUCAUAUCCACUCUGGAAAUCCAGAUAAUUUCUUGGAUGAUCUUGCUCGGGCACUGUCGGGAUACAACACACCAGAAAAUAAGCAGGUGUACUUAUCUGCUGGACCCGAAUGUGUUCUGCCUGACCCUUGGCUUGACGCUUCUAUCAGAACUGGCCUUUUUGAUUACGUGUGGGUGGAAUUUUUCGACAAUACAGCUUGUCAGUAUACCCCAGGCAAUCUCACUGCCCUCUUCCAGAGUUGGGACGCUUGGGCUUCGUAUCCAGGCGUUAAUGCACUAUUCCUGGGAAUUCCUGUAUCCCCAGAGGUCGCACCUGACGGCGGUUACAUCCCAUAUGAGGUGCUAGUUAGUGUGGUUCUUCCCUUUGUGGAGACCUAUUCCAACUUUGGAGGGAUCAUGCUUUGGCCCUACGUUCAUCAUCACCCACAUU